This 647-nucleotide ribosomal RNA is filed under the name Salmonella enterica. RNAcentral's name for it is "partial 23S ribosomal RNA". It matches the Rfam family "Bacterial large subunit ribosomal RNA", at positions 911 to 1478 of the family's 2925-position model. Lineage: Bacteria; Pseudomonadati; Pseudomonadota; Gammaproteobacteria; Enterobacterales; Enterobacteriaceae. The record is from RNAcentral.
UGUUUCGGCUAGGGGGCCAUCCCGGCUUACCAACCCGAUGCAAACUGCGAAUACCGGAGAAUGUUAUCACGGGAGACACACGGCGGGUGCUAACGUCCGUCGUGAAGAGGGAAACAACCCAGACCGCCAGCUAAGGUCCCAAAGUCAUGGUUAAGUGGGAAACGAUGUGGGAAGGCCCAGACAGCCAGGAUGUUGGCUUAGAAGCAGCCAUCAUUUAAAGAAAGCGUAAUAGCUCACUGGUCGAGUCGGCCUGCGCGGAAGAUGUAACGGGGCUAAACCAUGCACCGAAGCUGCGGCAGCGAACGUAUCACUUAAAGCGAUUCAGCGGGUUACGAUUGACGGAGCGAAGCGACGUCAAAGCGUAUACAAAGUCGAGUCGGUUUAAGGAUACGUUCGUUGGGUAGGGGAGCGUUCUGUAAGCCUGUGAAGGUGGCCUGUGAGGGUUGCUGGAGGUAUCAGAAGUGCGAAUGCUGACAUAAGUAACGAUAAAGCGGGUGAAAAGCCCGCUCGCCGGAAGACCAAGGGUUCCUGUCCAACGUUAAUCGGGGCAGGGUGAGUCGACCCCUAAGGCGAGGCCGAAAGGCGUAGUCGAUGGGAAACGGGUUAAUAUUCCCGUACUUGGUGUUACUGCGAAGGGGGGACGGAGA